NNNNNNNNNNNNNNNNNGGCAGCUCCGGCAGGCCAGGGACCAGGCCCCCCUGCCCUCCGCCCUGCCCCCCGGCCUGCCCCCCCCCGCCUCCCCCUCGGGUGCCAGCCAGGGCCGCCGCGGCCCCUCCGCCAGCCUCUUCAGCAAGUUCACCUCCAAGUUCGUCCGCAGGUGAGCAGGGGGGGGGGAGGGAUUGUCACCCACCUCGGUGCUGUGUGGCCUCCUGGGCUGCCUCCCCUCUGUGUGUCCCCACUGCUCCUCUGUGUCACCUCUGUGUGUCCCCAGGGAUCCUUUGUGUCACCUCAUCCCCCCAGGGAUCCCCUGUGUCCCCACUGUUCCUCUGUGUCCCCUCUGUGUGUCUCCUUGUCCCCCCCGGGGCUCUCCUGUGUCCCCUCUGUGUGUCCCCAGGGAUCCUUUGUGUCACCUCAUCCCCCCAGGGAUCCUCUGUGUCCCCUCUGUGUGUCCCCAGGGCCUGUGUGUCCCCUCUGUGUCCCCCCGGGGCUCUCCUGUGUCCCCUCUGUGUGUCCCCAGGGAUCCUUUGUGUCACCUCAUCCCCCCAGGGAUCCUCUGUGUCCCCUCUGUGUGUCCCCAGGGCCUGUGUGUCCCCUCUGUGUCCCCCCGGGGCUCUCCUGUGUCCCCUCUGUGUGUCCCCAGGGAUCCUUUGUGUCACCUCAUCCCCCCAGGGAUCCUCUGUGUCCCCUCUGUGUGUCCCCAGGGCCUGUGUGUCCCCUCUGUGUCCCCCCGGGGCUCUCCUGUGUCCCCUCUGUGUGUCCCCAGGGAUCCUUUGUGUCACCUCAUCCCCCCAGGGAUCCUCUGUGUCCCCUCUGUGUGUCCCCAGGGCCUGUGUGUCCCCUCUGUGUCCCCCCGGGGCUCUCCUGUGUCCCCUCUGUGUGUCCCCAGGGAUCCCCUGUGUCUCCACUGCUCCUCUGUGCCCCCCCUGCGUGUCCCCUUGUCACCCCUGGGGCUCCUCCUUGUCCCCCCCGGGGCUCUCCUGUGUGUCCCCAGGGAUCCUCUGUCACCUCUGUGUGUCCCCAGGGAUCCCCUGUGUCCCCACUGCUCCCCCGUGUCCCCUCAUCCUGGGGCUCCUCUGUGUCCUCUCUGUGUGUCCCCUUCCCCAUGUGUCCCCUCUGUGUGUCCCCAGGGAUCCCCUGUGUCCCCACUGCUCCUUUGUGUCACCUCUGUGUCCCCAGGGAUCCUCCUGUGUCACCUCAUCCCCCCAGGGAUCCUCUGUGUCCCCUCUGUGUGUCCCCAGGGAUCCCCCGUGUCCCCACUGCUCCUCUGUGUCCCCUCUGUGUGUCCCCUUGUCCCCCUGGGGCUCCUCCUUGUCCCCCCCGGGGCUCUCCUGUGUCCCCAGGGCUCCUCUGUGUCCCCUCUAUGUGUCUCCUUCCCCACGUGUCCCCUCUGUGUCCCCUCGUCCCCCCCAAGGGGAUCUUCCUCUGUCCCCUCUGUGUGUCCCUUUGUCACCCCCAGGGCUUUUCCCUGUCCCCUUUUAGGACCCCAGGACAGUUCCUUGUCCCUCUGUGUCCCCCCCCCCCAGGGGCUCUUCCAUGUCCCUUCUUGUCCCCUGGGGGCUCUUCUGCAUGUCCCCUCCUGUCACCCCCUGUCCCCUCCGUGUCCCCAUCCCCUCUGUCCCCUCAGGGCUCCUCCUGUCCCCCCAAAUCCCCUGCCACCCCCU
Molecule: long non-coding RNA, 1672 nt
Filed under: Calidris pugnax (ruff)
Lineage: Eukaryota; Metazoa; Chordata; Aves; Charadriiformes; Scolopacidae
Description: lncRNA (ENSCPUG00000001121.1)
Source: RNAcentral